GUGAAUCAUCGAAUUUUUGAACGCAAAUUGCACUCUCUGGUUUUCCGGGAGAGUAUGCUUGUUUGAGGGUCUGUUUAAAAAAUAAUCGAGGCAGAUGCUGUGGUGGCUAUACGGAAUUGGGUCAUCUUUCCCCUUUCGGUUGUAAGCGAACUAAAAUUUUUUUACGAUUUCUACGAACGUGUCUAAGAAU
Molecule: unclassified non-coding RNA, 190 nt
Filed under: Glomus sp.
Lineage: Eukaryota; Fungi; Glomeromycota; Glomeromycetes; Glomerales; Glomeraceae
Description: partial contains 5.8S ribosomal RNA and internal transcribed spacer 2
Rfam family: 5.8S ribosomal RNA (bases 1-72)
Source: RNAcentral